CCUACGGGAGGCAGCAGUGAGGAAUAUUGGUCAAUGGACGCAAGUCUGAACCAGCCAUGCCGCGUGCCGGAAGACGGCUCUAUGAGUUGUAAACUGCUUUUGUACGAGGGUAAACGCCGGUACGCGUAUCUGUCUGAACGUAUCGUACGAAUAAGGAUCGGCUAACUCCGUGCCAGCAGCCGCGGUAAUACGGAGGAUUCAAGCGUUAUCCGGAUUUAUUGGGUUUAAAGGGUGCGUAGGCGGUCGGGUAAGUUAGCGGUGAAAUCCCGGGGCUCAACUUCGGGAUUGCCUUUGAUACUGUUAGGCUAGAGAGGAGUAGAGGUAGGCGGAAUGUAUGGUGUAGCGGUGAAAUGCGUAGAGAUCGUACAGAACACCGAUUGCGAAGGCAGCUUACCAAGCUAAGACUGACGUUGAGGCACGAAAGCGUGGGGAGCAAACAGGAUUAGAUACCCUUGUAGUC
This 460-nucleotide ribosomal RNA is filed under the name uncultured bacterium. Its description in RNAcentral is "partial 16S ribosomal RNA". It matches the Rfam family "Bacterial small subunit ribosomal RNA", at positions 338 to 795 of the family's 1533-position model. The record is from RNAcentral.